Molecule: ribosomal RNA, 505 nt
Filed under: uncultured bacterium
Lineage: Bacteria
Description: bacterial SSU rRNA
Rfam family: Bacterial small subunit ribosomal RNA
Source: RNAcentral
AUGGCUCAGGAUGAACGCUAGCGACAGGCUAACACAUGCAAGUCGAGGGGCAGCACGGGAGUAGCAAUACUUGGUGGCGACCGGCGCACGGGUGAGUAACGCGUAUGCAACCUACCUAUCAGAGGGGAAUAACCCGGCGAAAGUCGGACUAAUACCGCAUAAAACAGGGGCACCGCAUGGUGAUAUUUGUUAAAGAAAUUCGCUGAUAGAUGGGCAUGCGUUCCAUUAGGUAGUUGGUGAGGUAACGGCUCACCAAGCCGACGAUGGAUAGGGGAACUGAGAGGUUGGUCCCCCACACUGGUACUGAGACACGGACCAGACUCCUACGGGAGGCAGCAGUGAGGAAUAUUGGUCAAUGGGCGGGAGCCUGAACCAGCCAAGUCGCGUGAAGGAAGAAGGAUCUAUGGUUCGUAAACUUCUUUUGCAGGGGAAUAAAGUGCAGGACGUGUCCUGUUUUGUAUGUACCCUGAGAAUAAGGAUCGGCUAACUCCGUGCCAGCCGCAGC